RNAcentral lists this ribosomal RNA (458 nucleotides) under uncultured Clostridium sp. Its description in RNAcentral is "bacterial SSU rRNA". It matches the Rfam family "Bacterial small subunit ribosomal RNA", at positions 920 to 1382 of the family's 1533-position model. Lineage: Bacteria; Bacillati; Bacillota; Clostridia; Eubacteriales; Clostridiaceae. The record is from RNAcentral.
CCCGCACAAGCAGCGAGCAUGUGGUUUAAUUCGAAGCAACGCGAAGAACCUUACCUAGACUUGACAUCUCCUGAAUUACCCGUAACUGGGGAAGCUCUUCGGAGCAGGAAGACAGGUGGUGCAUGGUUGUCGUCAGCUCGUGUCGUGAGAUGUUGGGUUAAGUCCCGCAACGAGCGCAACCCUUAUCGUUAGUUGCUACCAUUAGGUUGAGCACUCUAGCGAGACUGCCCGGGUUAACCGGGAGGAAGGUGGGGAUGACGUCAAAUCAUCAUGCCCCUUAUGUCUAGGGCUACACACGUGCUACAAUGGUGAGGACAAAGAGACGCAAGACCGCGAGGUGGAGCAAAUCUCACAAACCUCAUCCCAGUUCGGAUUGCAGGCUGAAACUCGCCUGCAUGAAGCCGGAGUUGCUAGUAAUCGCGAAUCAGCAUGUCGCGGUGAAUACGUUCCCGGGCCUU